CCUACGGGUGGCUGCAGUGAGGAAUAUUGGUCAAUGGGCGGGAGCCUGAACCAGCCAAGUCGCUUGAGGGAAGACGGUCCUAUGGAUUGUAAACCUCUUUAGGCGGGGAGCAAUGCCGGGCACGUGUGCCCGGAGGGAGAGUACCCGCAGAAUAAGCAUCGGCUAACUCCGUGCCAGCGGCCGCGGUAAUACGGAGGAUGCGAGCGUUAUCCGGAUUGAUUGGGUUUAAAGGGUGCGUAGGCGGAUUUUUAAGUCAGCGGUAAAAUGUCUGGGCGCAACCCGGGACGGCCGUGGAAACUGGGGAGCUUGAGUGGGCGAGAAGUAUGCGGAAUGCGCAGGGUAGCGGUGAAAUGCUUAGAUAUUGCGCAGAACUCCGAUUGCGAAGGCAGCAUACCGGCGGCGAUCUGACGCUGAGGCACGAAAGCGUGGGUAUCGAACAGGAUUAGAUACCCGAGUAGUC
This 460-nucleotide ribosomal RNA is filed under the name uncultured bacterium. RNAcentral describes it as "partial 16S ribosomal RNA". It matches the Rfam family "Bacterial small subunit ribosomal RNA", at positions 338 to 795 of the family's 1533-position model. The record is from RNAcentral.